AUUGAACGCUGGCGGCAGGCCUAACACAUGCAAGUCGAGCGGAUGAAGGGAGCUUGCUCCUGGAUUCAGCGGCGGACGGGUGAGUAAUGCCUAGGAAUCUGCCUGGUAGUGGGGGAUAACGUCCGGAAACGGGCGCUAAUACCGCAUACGUCCUGAGGGAGAAAGUGGGGGAUCUUCGGACCUCACGCUAUCAGAUGAGCCUAGGUCGGAUUAGCUAGUUGGUGGGGUAAAGGCCUACCAAGGCGACGAUCCGUAACUGGUCUGAGAGGAUGAUCAGUCAAACUGGAAAUGAAGAACGGGCCAAGACCCUAAGGGGGGGCGGGAGGGGGAAAUUUGGGAAAAGGGGGAAAGCCUGAACCAGCCAUGCGGCGUGUGUGAAGAAGGUCUUCGGAUGGUAAAGCACUUUAAGUUGGGAGGAAGGGCAGUAAGUUAAUACCUUGCUGUUUUGACGUUACCAACAGAAUAAGCACCGGCGAACUUCGU
Molecule: ribosomal RNA, 483 nt
Filed under: uncultured bacterium
Lineage: Bacteria
Description: partial 16S ribosomal RNA
Rfam family: Bacterial small subunit ribosomal RNA
Source: RNAcentral